This 460-nucleotide ribosomal RNA is filed under the name uncultured bacterium. RNAcentral describes it as "partial 16S ribosomal RNA". It matches the Rfam family "Bacterial small subunit ribosomal RNA", at positions 338 to 795 of the family's 1533-position model. The record is from RNAcentral.
CCUACGGGAGGCAGCAGUGAGGAAUAUUGGUCAAUGGACGAGAGUCUGAACCAGCCAAGUAGCGUGAAGGAUGACUGCCCUAUGGGUUGUAAACUUCUUUUAUAUGGGAAUAAAACGUUCCACGUGUGGGAUUUUGUAUGUACCAUAUGAAUAAGGAUCGGCUAACUCAGUGCCAGCAGCCGCGGUAAUACGGAGGAUCCGAGAGUUAUCCGGAUUUAUUGGGUUUAAAGGGAGCGUAGGUGGAUUGUUAAGUCAGUUGUGAAAGUUUGCGGCUCAACCGUAAAAUUGCAGUGGAAACUGGCAGUCUUGAGUACAGUAGAGGUGGGCGGAAUUCGUGGUGUAGCGGUGAAAUGCUUAGAUAUCACGAAGAACUCCGAUUGCGAAGGCAGUUCACUGGACUGCAACUGACACUGAGGCUCGAAAGUGUGGGUAUCAAACAGGAUUAGAUACCCUGGUAGUC